RNAcentral lists this ribosomal RNA (110 nucleotides) under pig gut metagenome. The record is from RNAcentral.
GGUGUUGAUGACGUCGAGGGUACACCCGUUCCCAUCCCGAACACGGUAGUUAAGCUCGAUAGUGCCGAAGAUACUUGGCUGGCAACGGCCCGGGAAAAUAGGGAGAUGCC